This 464-nucleotide ribosomal RNA is filed under the name uncultured bacterium. RNAcentral's name for it is "partial 16S ribosomal RNA". It matches the Rfam family "Bacterial small subunit ribosomal RNA", at positions 28 to 506 of the family's 1533-position model. The record is from RNAcentral.
GACGAACGCUGGCGGCGUGCUUAACACAUGCGAGUCGAACGGAAAGGCCCCUUUGGGGGUACUCGAGUGGCGAACGGGUGAGUAACACGUGAGUAACCUGCCCUUGACUUCGGGAUAACUUCAGGAAACUGGGGCUAAUACCGGAUAGGAAUCCUUGCUGCAUGGUGGGGGUUGGAAAGCUUCGGCGGUUUUGGAUGGACUCGCGGCUUAUCAGCUUGUUGGUGGGGUAGUGGCUUACCAAGGCUUUGACGGGUAGCCGGCCUGAGAGGGCGACCGGCCACAUUGGGACUGAGAUACGGCCCAGACUCCUACGGGAGGCAGCAGUGGGGAAUAUUGCACAAUGGGCGGAAGCCUGAUGCAGCAACGCCGCGUGCGGGAUGACGGCCUUCGGGUUGUAAACCGCUUUCAGCAGGGGCGAAGCUUGUGGUGACGGUACCUGCAGAAGAAGCACCGGCUAACUACGU